Molecule: long non-coding RNA, 138 nt
Organism: Ipomoea nil (Japanese morning glory)
Lineage: Eukaryota; Viridiplantae; Streptophyta; Magnoliopsida; Solanales; Convolvulaceae
Exons: 3
Source: RefSeq, a predicted model, not a curated record
UUGUUGAAGAUUACUAGUGGUAGAUUGGUGUCACCUCAUCGUAGUAGACUCCAUCCAAAUAUUGUGGAGGCAUUAAUGUGUUCUCAAAGUUGGUUGCUUGAAAGUGAUAGCACUGUGGAGGAUUAUGAAAUUAAUGAA